Molecule: ribosomal RNA, 902 nt
Filed under: Colletotrichum nymphaeae
Lineage: Eukaryota; Fungi; Ascomycota; Sordariomycetes; Glomerellales; Glomerellaceae
Description: LSU rRNA
Rfam family: Eukaryotic large subunit ribosomal RNA
Source: RNAcentral
UAAGCAUAUCAAUAAGCGGAGGAAAAGAAACCAACAGGGAUUGCCCCAGUAACGGCGAGUGAAGCGGCAACAGCUCAAAUUUGAAAUCUGGCCCCAGGCCCGAGUUGUAAUUUGCAGAGGAUGCUUUUGGCGCGGUGCCUUCCGAGUUCCCUGGAACGGGACGCCAUAGAGGGUGAGAGCCCCGUACGGUUGGACACCAAGUCUUUGUAAAGCUCCUUCGACGAGUCGAGUAGUUUGGGAAUGCUGCUCAAAAUGGGAGGUAUAUUUCUUCUAAAGCUAAAUAUUGGCCAGAGACCGAUAGCGCACAAGUAGAGUGAUCGAAAGAUGAAAAGCACUUUGAAAAGAGGGUUAAACAGCACGUGAAAUUGUUAAAAGGGAAGCGCUUAUGACCAGACUUGCGCCCGGUGAAUCACCCAGCUCUCGCGGCUGGGGCACUUUGCCGGCUCAGGCCAGCAUCAGCUCGCUGUCGGGGACAAAAGCUUCGGGAACGUAGCUCUCUUCGGGGAGUGUUAUAGCCCGUUGCACAAUACCCUUCGGCGGGCUGAGGUACGCGCUCCGCAAGGAUGCUGGCGUAAUGGUCAUCAGCGACCCGUCUUGAAACACGGACCAAGGAGUCAACCUUAUGUGCGAGUGUUUGGGUGUCAAACCCCUACGCGUAAUGAAAGUGAACGCAGGUGAGAGCUUCGGCGCAUCAUCGACCGAUCCUGAUGUUCUCGGAUGGAUUUGAGUAAGAGCAUAUAGGGUUGGACCCGAAAGAAGGUGAACUAUGCGUGUAUAGGGUGAAGCCAGAGGAAACUCUGGUGGAGGCUCGCAGCGGUUCUGACGUGCAAAUCGAUCGUCAAAUAUGCGCAUGGGGGGCGAAAGACUAAUCGAACCUUCUAGUAGCUGGUUUCCGCCGAAGU